UAGCGGCGAGUGAAGCGGCAAAAGCUCAAAUUUGAAAUCUGGCACCUUCGGUGUCCGAGUUGUAAUUUGAAGAUUGUAACCUUGGGGUUGGCUCUUGUCUAUGUUUCUUGGAACAGGACGUCACAGAGGGUGAGAAUCCCGUGCGAUGAGAUGCCCAAUCCUAUGUAAGGUGCUUUCGAAGAGUCGAGUUGUUUGGGAAUGCAGCUCUAAGUGGGUGGUAAAUUCCAUCUAAAGCUAAAUAUUGGCGAGAGACCGAUAGCGAACAAGUACAGUGAUGGAAAGAUGAAAAGAACUUUGAAAAGAGAGUGAAAAAGUACGUGAAAUUGUUGAAAGGGAAGGGUUUGAGAUCAGACUCGAUAUUUUGUGAGCCUUGCCUUCGUGGCGGGGUGACCCGCAGCUUAUCGGGCCAGCAUCGGUUUGGGCGGUAGGAUAAUGGCGUAGGAAUGUGACUUUGCUUCGGUGAAGUGUUAUAGCCUGCGUUGAUGCUGCCUGCCUAGACCGAGGACUGCGAUUUUAUCAAGGAUGCUGGCAUAAUGAUCCCAAACCGCCCGUCUUAAACAAAGGAAACAAU
This 571-nucleotide ribosomal RNA is filed under the name Meyerozyma caribbica. RNAcentral's name for it is "LSU rRNA". It matches the Rfam family "Eukaryotic large subunit ribosomal RNA", at positions 84 to 664 of the family's 3401-position model. The record is from RNAcentral. Lineage: Eukaryota; Fungi; Ascomycota; Pichiomycetes; Serinales; Debaryomycetaceae.